Molecule: ribosomal RNA, 251 nt
Filed under: uncultured bacterium
Lineage: Bacteria
Description: partial 16S ribosomal RNA
Rfam family: Bacterial small subunit ribosomal RNA
Source: RNAcentral
UACGUAGGUGGCAAGCGUUAUCCGGAUUUACUGGGUGUAAAGGGAGCGUAGACGGCUAAGCAAGUCUGAAGUGAAAGCCCGGGGCUUAACCCCGGGACUGCUUUGGAAACUGUUAAGCUAGAGUGCUGGAGAGGUAAGUGGAAUUCCUAGUGUAGCGGUGAAAUGCGUAGAUAUUAGGAGGAACACCAGUGGCGAAGGCGGCUUACUGGACAGUAACUGACGUUGAGGCUCGAAAGCGUGGGGAGCAAACA